AACUUUCAGCAACGGAUCUCUUGGCUCUCGCAUCGAUGAAGAACGCAGCGAAAUGCGAUAAGUAAUGUGAAUUGCAGAAUUCAGUGAAUCAUCGAAUCUUUGAACGCACCUUGCGCCCUUUGGCUGUUCCGAAGGGCAUGCCUGUUUGAGUAUCAUG
This 157-nucleotide ribosomal RNA is filed under the name uncultured Thelephoraceae. RNAcentral's name for it is "5.8S ribosomal RNA". It matches the Rfam family "5.8S ribosomal RNA". Rfam says of the family: 5.8S ribosomal RNA (5.8S rRNA) is a component of the large subunit of the eukaryotic ribosome. It is transcribed by RNA polymerase I as part of the 45S precursor that also contains 18S and 28S rRNA. The record is from RNAcentral. Lineage: Eukaryota; Fungi; Basidiomycota; Agaricomycetes; Thelephorales; Thelephoraceae.